UCAGCACAUUGCUAGAGCGUGGUGUUGAGGCCACCGGUGGCCGAUGGACUUACAAGUGGAGGUAGUGCGCCAAGUGAGGGGCAAGUUUUCCACUCACACCACAAGGAUCCCUGGCCCAGUGCGUGGAGCUGGACAGCAAUCCUUGCUGUAAGU
Molecule: small nucleolar RNA, 153 nt
Organism: Eptesicus fuscus (big brown bat)
Lineage: Eukaryota; Metazoa; Chordata; Mammalia; Chiroptera; Vespertilionidae
Source: RefSeq, a predicted model, not a curated record